UACCAGCUCUCCGAGUGGUGUGGAUGUUUAUUGGGCCUAAAGCAUCCGUAGCUGGCUGGGCAAGUCCCCUGUUAAAUCCACCGAUUUAAUCGUUGGUGUGCGGGGGAUACUGUUCGGCUAGGGGACGGGAGAGGCCGACGGUAUUUUCGGGGUAGGGGUGAAAUCCUAUAAUCCCGGGAAGACCACCAGUGGCGAAGGCUGUCGGCUAGAACGCGCCCGACGGUGAGGGAUGAAAGCUGGGGGGAGCGAACCGGAUUAGAUACCCGGGUAGUCCCAGCUGUAAACGAUGCAGGCUAGGUGUUUGGGCGGCCACGUGCCGCUCUAGUGCCGCAGAGAAGCCGUUAAGCCUGCCGCCUGGGGAGUACGGCCGCAAGGCUGAAACUUAAAGGAAUUGGCGGGGGAGCACCACAAGGGGUGAAGCUUGGCGGUUU
RNAcentral lists this ribosomal RNA (431 nucleotides) under uncultured archaeon. Its description in RNAcentral is "bacterial SSU rRNA". It matches the Rfam family "Archaeal small subunit ribosomal RNA", at positions 474 to 903 of the family's 1478-position model. The record is from RNAcentral.